Saccostrea cuccullata (small rock oyster) is the source of this 608-nucleotide long non-coding RNA. RefSeq lists it as uncharacterized. NCBI's taxonomy places the organism in Eukaryota, Metazoa, Mollusca, Bivalvia, Ostreida, Ostreidae. The record is from RefSeq and is a predicted model, not a curated record. The transcript is spliced from 5 exons.
UAAGACUAUCUUUUGUUUUUCCUCUCUUUUACUUUGAUGAUUUUUAUGUUAUGAAGCUUUUCAUGUAUAAAGCUCAAUUUUUCCAUGACCACGGAAGUAAACAUCCUGAUGCAUUCUUGUCAUGUGAAUGUUGAGAGCGUGUUCAUUUUUGAAAUCUCCUUUCUGACAGACCUAUUCCACAGGAUCAGCUGAGAUGUUAUUUCACUGGAUUAUUUAAUGGAUAGGCUUAUUGGGCAUAUAUUUGGAUAUUUCUGUCAUCAACAUGGAAUGUAUGACUUCAUCUUUUAUACAGUCGGGUUCGGGGUUUCGGGCGGCCAUGACGAAUUUCGGCAAGAUUUUUACCCCAGUGAAAAAGGCUUGUAAUCCACAGUUCCUCAACCUGGAAGAUAUGUUUUGUUCCUAACCAUCUAUAAUCCAUUCUCUAUGAAGUGAAGCCUGGCUGCUCUUCCUUUGGAAAUACACAGUUAGUCAAUCAACAUAGAAACACACAAACUUGAAGGAUAUUCUAGUGAGGGCUUAUGGAAAUGAUCUAUGUCUACUCUCAGAAUGGUGAAAGACUAUCAGAUUAUGCAAAGACUAACAGGAUAUCCUCUCUUGGAACACUGAAA